CUACGGGUUGCUCCAGUGGGGAAUAUUGCACAAUGGGCGCAAGCCUGAUGCAGCCAUGCCGCGUGUAUGAAGAAGGCCUUCGGGUUGUAAAGUACUUUCAGCGGGGAGGAAGGGAGUAAAGUUAAUACCUUUGCUCAUUGACGUUACCCGCAGAAGAAGCACCGGCUAACUCCGUGCCAGCAGCCGCGGUAAUACGGAGGGUGCAAGCGUUAAUCGGAAUUACUGGGCGUAAAGCGCACGCAGGCGGUCUGUUAAGUCAGAUGUGAAAUCCCCGGGCUCAACCUGGGAACUGCAUCUGAUACUGGCAAGCUUGAGUCUCGUAGAGGGGGGUAGAAUUCCAGGUGUAGCGGUGAAAUGCGUAGAGAUAUGGAGGAAUACCGGUGGCGAAGGCGGCCCCCUGGACGAAGACUGACGCUCAGGUGCGAAAGCGUGGGGAGCAAACAGGAUUAGAUACCCCUGUAGUC
This 464-nucleotide ribosomal RNA is filed under the name uncultured bacterium. RNAcentral's name for it is "partial 16S ribosomal RNA". It matches the Rfam family "Bacterial small subunit ribosomal RNA", at positions 339 to 795 of the family's 1533-position model. The record is from RNAcentral.